UUUCUUUUGUUCCAAACAAAUGUUUUAAUAUUGUAAAUUUAAAUAAUUUUUGUGCUAUUUAGCACCACUCAAUUAGCGUCGUCUAUAUUUAGCGCCACUCAAUUAUCGUCAGACCUAUUCUACUGAAACUGCCUGGAAACUUUUGGCCUGAUCAUGCUCUUGUUUGCCAAAGCUAUAUUGUCUCGAUACUGAAUAACAUGUGUAAGAAUAUUAUUUAACAAA
This 222-nucleotide long non-coding RNA is filed under the name Lathyrus oleraceus (garden pea). Its description in RNAcentral is "Pisum sativum (pea) long non-coding RNA (PSAT_LNC021702)". Lineage: Eukaryota; Viridiplantae; Streptophyta; Magnoliopsida; Fabales; Fabaceae. The record is from RNAcentral.